AACUAACGCUGGCGGCGUGCCUAACACAUGCAAGUCGAACGAGAAAGUUGGCUUCGGCCGAUGAGUAAAGUGGCGCACGGGUGAGUAACGCGUGGAUAAUCUGCCCUUUAGUUUGGAAUAACGUACCGAAAGGUGCGCUAAUACCGGAUAAUACUGAAUGACUACUGUCGUUUAGUCAAAGAAGGCUUCUGUUUACAUGCUUUUGCUGAAGGAUGAGUCCGCGUACCAUUAGCUAGUUGGUAGGGUAAUGGCCUACCAAGGCGACGAUGGUUAGCUGGUCUGAGAGGAUGAUCAGCCACACUGGAACUGAGACACGGUCCAGACUCCUACGGGAGGCAGCAGUGAGGAAUAUUGCGCAAUGGGGGCAACCCUGACGCAGCGACGCCGCGUGAAGGAUGAAGGCCUUCGGGUUGGUAAACUUCUUUGUAUGAGGGACGGAAUAAAUAGACGGUACCUCAAAACAAGACCACGGCUAACUACGUGCCAGCAGACCGCGGUAAACGAUA
This 506-nucleotide ribosomal RNA is filed under the name uncultured bacterium. RNAcentral's name for it is "bacterial SSU rRNA". It matches the Rfam family "Bacterial small subunit ribosomal RNA", at positions 29 to 529 of the family's 1533-position model. The record is from RNAcentral.